Erinaceus europaeus (western European hedgehog) is the source of this 129-nucleotide non-coding RNA. NCBI's taxonomy places the organism in Eukaryota, Metazoa, Chordata, Mammalia, Eulipotyphla, Erinaceidae. The record is from Rfam.
UGAUGGUUUCAGAACAGAAACAGAGCAGUGAGACUGUGUGACUGCUUUUCCCCAGUGCCACCAGCUGGGAGUUAAGCUGACUAACAUUUUGAAGGCCCAGCCUGUUUCACUCACAGCAGGCCUGGCAGG